CCCAGCUGUCCCCUCAGACGGCAGCCCGUGGCCGUCCCCUUCGCCGUGGGAUGCGGGGAUUUGGGGCGGCUGAAGGAGUCGGGGCCCCCACCGCUGUAGCGCUGCUGCCCCCAUUAGGGCCUGGAACCCCGAGCGUCCAGUGCUGCCCAUGGUGCCCCCCAAGGCUGAGGUUUCAGUCUGCAGUCUGCUGAUCCGAAAGAAAGAAGGCGGAUUUUGGAG
This 219-nucleotide long non-coding RNA is filed under the name Gallus gallus (chicken). Lineage: Eukaryota; Metazoa; Chordata; Aves; Galliformes; Phasianidae. The record is from RNAcentral.